This 734-nucleotide ribosomal RNA is filed under the name uncultured bacterium. RNAcentral describes it as "bacterial SSU rRNA". It matches the Rfam family "Bacterial small subunit ribosomal RNA", at positions 771 to 1501 of the family's 1533-position model. The record is from RNAcentral.
AACAGGAUUAGAUACCCUGGUAGUCCACGCCGUAAACGAUGAGUGCUAAGUGUUAGGGGGUUUCCGCCCCUUAGUGCUGCAGCUAACGCAUUAAGCACUCCGCCUGGGGAGUACGGCCGCAAGGCUGAAACUCAAAGGAAUUGACGGGGGCCCGCACAAGCGGUGGAGCAUGUGGUUUAAUUCGAAGCAACGCGAAGAACCUUACCAGGUCUUGACAUCCCGCUGCCCGGUGUAGAGAUACGCCUUUCCCUUCGGGGACAGCGGUGACAGGUGGUGCAUGGUUGUCGUCAGCUCGUGUCGUGAGAUGUUGGGUUAAGUCCCGCAACGAGCGCAACCCUUGAUCUUAGUUGCCAGCAUUCAGUUGGGCACUCUAAGGUGACUGCCGGUGACAAACCGGAGGAAGGUGGGGAUGACGUCAAAUCAUCAUGCCCCUUAUGACCUGGGCUACACACGUGCUACAAUGGACGGUACAAAGGGCUGCCAACCCGCGAGGGGGAGCCAAUCCCAGAAAACCGUUCUCAGUUCGGAUUGCAGGCUGCAACUCGCCUGCAUGAAGCCGGAAUCGCUAGUAAUCGUGGAUCAGCAUGCCACGGUGAAUACGUUCCCGGGCCUUGUACACACCGCCCGUCACACCACGAGAGUUUGUAACACCCGAAGUCGGUGAGGUAACCACUUGUGGAGCCAGCCGCCGAAGGUGGGACAGAUGAUUGGGGUGAAGUCGUAACAAGGUAACC